This 424-nucleotide ribosomal RNA is filed under the name uncultured Bacteroidales bacterium. RNAcentral describes it as "bacterial SSU rRNA". It matches the Rfam family "Bacterial small subunit ribosomal RNA", at positions 28 to 440 of the family's 1533-position model. The record is from RNAcentral. Lineage: Bacteria; Pseudomonadati; Bacteroidota; Bacteroidia; Bacteroidales.
GAUGAACGCUAGCUACAGGCUUAACACAUGCAAGUCGAGGGGAAACGGCAUCAAGCGCUUGCGCCUGAUGGACGUCGACCGGCGCACGGGUGAGUAACGCGUAUCCAACCUGCCCCACACUAAGGGAUAACCCGCAGAAAUGUGGACUAAUACCUUAUAUUUUCCACCAAGGGCAUCGUCGAUGGAACAAAGAUUUAUCGGUAUGGGAUGGGGAUGCGUCCGAUUAGGUUGCUGGCGGGGUAACGGCCCACCAAGCCUUCGAUCGGUAGGGGUUCUGAGAGGAAGGUCCCCCACAUAGGAACUGAGACACGGUCCUAACUCCUACGGGAGGCAGCAGUGAGGAAUAUUGGUCAAUGGGCGUGAGCCUGAACCAGCCAAGUAGCGUGCAGGAAGACGGCCCUAUGGGUUGUAAACUGCUUUUAUG